GGCUGGUCCGAUGGCAGUGGGUUAUCAGAACUUAUUAACAUUAGUGUCACUAAAGUUGGUAUACCCCCCCCCCCCCCCCACUGCUAAAUUUUGUUUGUA
This 99-nucleotide non-coding RNA is filed under the name Cavia porcellus (domestic guinea pig). The record is from RNAcentral. Lineage: Eukaryota; Metazoa; Chordata; Mammalia; Rodentia; Caviidae.